AUGGACGCGGCGGUGCAGGAGGCGAAGCUGCUGCGGCAGGUGAACGCCCUCAUCGUGGCGCACCUCCGCGACCAGAACCUCACGCAGGCCGCCGCCGCCGUCGCCGCCGCCACCAUGACCCCCAAGGCCGACGCCUCCGUCCCCAACCACCUACUCCGCCUCGUCGCCAAGGGCCUCGCGGCCGAGCGGGAGGAGGCGGCCAGGGGAGGCGGAGCUCCCGCCGCGUUUGACUCCGGUGCUGGCGGCGGUGGGCUGGCGCGCCCGCUCGGCACCAAUGCCGUGGAUUUCAGUGUGCAGAAUGUUAGGGGCCCGUCCAAGACUUUCCCCAAGCAUGAAACCAGGCACAUCUCCGAUCAUAAGAAUGUUGCCAGAUGUGCAAAAUUUAGUCCUGAUGGGAAAUAUUUUGCAACUGGAAGUGGGGACACAUCCAUUAAGUUCUUUGAGGUAUCGAAAAUUAAGCAGACGAUGCUAGGAGACUCCAAAGAAGGCUCUGGCCGGCCUGUGGUCCGUACAUUUUAUGACCACGUGCAGCCCAUCAAUGAUCUGGAUUUCCAUCCUAUUAGCCCAAUACUGAUAUCUGGAGCAAAAGAUAAUACGAUAAAGUUCUUUGACUUCUCCAAAACUGCUGCAAGAAAAGCAUUCAGAGUUAUUCAGGAUACUCAUAAUGUUAGGUCUGUAUGUUUUCAUCCUUGCGGGGAUUACAUUUUAGCAGGGACUGAUCACCCAGUAGCUCAUCUCUAUGAUGUAAACACUUUCACAUGCUUCUUAUCCGCAAAUCCGCAGGACUCUAGUGCUGCCAUCAACCAGGUGCGUUACUCGGGUACUGGGAGCAUGUAUGUGACUGCUUCUAAGGAUGGUUCUCUGCGCAUCUGGGAUGGAGUAUCUGCUGAAUGUAUCCGUCCCAUAAUUGGAGCACAUGGAUCUGUAGAAGCUACGAGUGCAAUUUUCACCAAAGACGAGAGGUACAUCCUAUCCAGUGGAAAGGAUUCGUGUAUAAAGUUAUGGGAAGUUGGCACCGGAAGACUUGUGAAGCAAUAUCCAGGUGGUGUUAAUACACAAUUCCGGUGUCAGGCUGCCUUCAACGAAACGGAGGAGUUUGUACUAUCAACCGACGAGCAAAACAAUGAGGUUGUCAUCUGGGACGCACUUACUUCCGAGAGGGUGGCAAGAUUGCCCUCUGGCCAUACCGGCGCCCCUAGGUGGCUGGAGCACUCCCCUGUAGAGCCAGUGUUUGUUACAUGCGGAAACGAUCGAUCCGUCAGAUUCUGGAAAUAA
This 1275-nucleotide ribosomal RNA is filed under the name Triticum aestivum (bread wheat). RNAcentral describes it as "partial small subunit ribosomal RNA". The record is from RNAcentral. Lineage: Eukaryota; Viridiplantae; Streptophyta; Magnoliopsida; Poales; Poaceae.